RNAcentral lists this ribosomal RNA (401 nucleotides) under uncultured bacterium. RNAcentral's name for it is "bacterial SSU rRNA". It matches the Rfam family "Bacterial small subunit ribosomal RNA", at positions 28 to 422 of the family's 1533-position model. The record is from RNAcentral.
GAUGAACGCUAGCGGCAGGCUUAAUACAUGCAAGUCGAGGGGCAGCAGGUCUGUAGCAAUACAGAUGCUGGCGACCGGCAAACGGGUGCGGAACACGUACAGAACCUUCCUUCGAGCGGGGAAUAGCCCAGAGAAAUUUGGAUUAAUACCCCAUAGUACAUUGAAGAGGCAUCUCUUUAAUAUUAAAGAUUUAUCACUUGAAGAUGGCUGUGCGGCUGAUUAGGUAGUUGGCGGGGUAACGGCCCACCAAGCCUACGAUCAGUAACUGGUGUGAGAGCACGACCAGUCACACGGGCACUGAGACACGGGCCCGACUCCUACGGGAGGCAGCAGUAAGGAAUAUUGGUCAAUGGACGCAAGUCUGAACCAGCCAUGCCGCGUGGAGGAUGAAGGUCCUCUGG